RNAcentral lists this ribosomal RNA (497 nucleotides) under uncultured bacterium. Its description in RNAcentral is "bacterial SSU rRNA". It matches the Rfam family "Bacterial small subunit ribosomal RNA", at positions 1 to 475 of the family's 1533-position model. The record is from RNAcentral.
AAUUCGAUUGAGUUUGAUCAUGGCUCAGAACGAACGCUGGCGGCGUGGAUAAGACAUGCAAGUCGAGCGAGAUUUUUUCUUGUAGCAAUACAGGGAAAAGUCUAGCGGCGAACGGGUGCUUAACACGUGGGCAACCUGCCGUGAAGUGGGGGAUAGCUCGCCGAAAGGCGAAUUAAUACCGCAUGUGAUUAGAGAGGACAUCCUUUCGAAAUUAAAGUCGGGGCAACCUGACGCUUCUUGUGGGGCCCGCGGCCUAUCAGCUAGUUGGUGAGGUAACGGCUCACCAAGGCUUUGACGGGUAGCUGGUCUGAGAGGACGACCAGCCACACUGGGACUGAGACACGGCCCAGACACCUACGGGUGGCAGCAGUCGAGAAUUUUUGACAAUGGGGGAAACCCUGAUCGAGCGACGCCGCGUGGAGGAUGAAGGUCUUCGGAUUGUAAACUCCUGUCAUUGGGGAACAAGGUGCAUACGUUAACUGCGUAUGUAUUGAUAG